GACGGACGCUGGCGGCGUGCUUAACACAUGCAAGUCGAACGGAAAGGCCCCAGCUUGCUGGGGUACUCGAGUGGCGAACGGGUGAGUAACACGUGGGUGAUCUGCCCUGCACUCUGGGAUAAGCCUGGGAAACUGGGUCUAAUACCGGAUAGGACCGUGCUUUAGUGUGUGCGGUGGAAAGUUUUUCGGUGCAGGAUGAGCCCGCGGCCUAUCAGCUUGUUGGUGGGGUAAUGGCCUACCAAGGCGGCGACGGGUAGCCGGCCUGAGAGGGUGUACGGCCACAUUGGGACUGAGACACGGCCCAAACUCCUACGGGAGGCAGCAGUGGGGAAUAUUGCACAAUGGGCGCAAGCCUGAUGCAGCGACGCCGCGUGGGGGAUGACGGCCUUCGGGUUGUAAACCCCUUUCGGCAGGGACGAAGCUUUUGUGACGGUACCUGCAUAAGAAGCACCGGCUAACUACGU
Molecule: ribosomal RNA, 464 nt
Filed under: uncultured bacterium
Lineage: Bacteria
Description: partial 16S ribosomal RNA
Rfam family: Bacterial small subunit ribosomal RNA
Source: RNAcentral